RNAcentral lists this ribosomal RNA (386 nucleotides) under uncultured bacterium. RNAcentral describes it as "partial 16S ribosomal RNA". It matches the Rfam family "Bacterial small subunit ribosomal RNA", at positions 338 to 721 of the family's 1533-position model. The record is from RNAcentral.
CCUACGGGGUGCAGCAGUGAGGAAUAUUGGUCAAUGGGCGCUAGCCUGAACCAGCCAAGUAGCGUGAAGGAUGACUGCCCUCUGGGUUGUAAGCUUCUUUUAUAUGGGAAUAAAGUGCAGUAUGUAUACUGCUUUGCACGUACCUUAUGAAUGAGGAUCGGCUAACUACGUGCCAGCAGCCGCGUUAAUACGGAGGAUCCGAGUGUUAUCCGGAUUUAUUGGGUUUAAAGGGAGCGUAGGCGGGUUGUUAAGUCAGUAGUGAAAGUUUGCGGCUCAACCGUAAAAUUGCAGUUAAUACUGGCAGACUUGAGUACAGUAGAGGUAGGCGGAAUUCGUAGUGUAGCGGUGAAAUGCGUAGAUAUCACGAAGAACUCCGAUGGCGAAGG